RNAcentral lists this ribosomal RNA (465 nucleotides) under Vreelandella stevensii. RNAcentral describes it as "partial 16S ribosomal RNA". It matches the Rfam family "Bacterial small subunit ribosomal RNA", at positions 338 to 795 of the family's 1533-position model. Lineage: Bacteria; Pseudomonadati; Pseudomonadota; Gammaproteobacteria; Oceanospirillales; Halomonadaceae. The record is from RNAcentral.
CCUACGGGAGGCAGCAGUGGGGAAUAUUGGACAAUGGGCGAAAGCCUGAUCCAGCCAUGCCGCGUGUGUGAAGAAGGCCUUCGGGUUGUAAAGCACUUUCAGUGGGGAAGAAAGCCUUGGGGCUAAUACCCUCGAGGAAGGACAUCACCCACAGAAGAAGCACCGGCUAACUCCGUGCCAGCAGCCGCGGUAAUACGGAGGGUGCGAGCGUUAAUCGGAAUUACUGGGCGUAAAGCGCGCGUAGGCGGUCUGAUAAGCCGGUUGUGAAAGCCCCGGGCUCAACCUGGGAACGGCAUCCGGAACUGUCAGGCUAGAGUGCAGGAGAGGAAGGUAGAAUUCCCGGUGUAGCGGUGAAACGCGUAGAGAUCGGGAGGAAUACCAGUGGCGAAGGCGGCCUUCUGGACUGACACUGACGCUGAGGUGCGAAAGCGUGGGUAGCAAACAGGAUUAGAUACCCGUGUAGUC